Molecule: long non-coding RNA, 7281 nt
Organism: Cercocebus atys (sooty mangabey)
Lineage: Eukaryota; Metazoa; Chordata; Mammalia; Primates; Cercopithecidae
Exons: 2
Source: RefSeq, a predicted model, not a curated record
UCAAGUGAUCUGCCCGCCUCGGCCUCCCAAACUGCUAGGGUUGCAGGCAUGAGCCACCGUGCCCGGCUUAGGUGUCAGGAUUUCAACAUCUCUUUUUGGGAGACACAACUCAGCCCAUUCCCCUGCCCCACACAGGGGGGCGAUGCUCCUUUGCUCCGCAGCCUCCAGGCCCUUCUUUGAAGGCAGCAUCUCCUGCUCUGCAUGGGAAUGAAGCUCCCCGACUCUCCAGAACCCUUAGCCUUGCAAUUAUGUCUCUGACGCAUGUGUUGGGAGCCCCGGGAACACUGUGUGAAAGAGACGUGACGUUUCUGAAGCACGUCAGGUUUGAAUUUGCACCGCAACAGAGCAUGCCCUCUCAUGCUGUGUUGCCUAUUUCACUGCAGUCAACUAAGCCUGAAACUGAGGGCCUUUGAUGGUACCGGUGGGAAGGACAAAAGUCCUUCCAGUUUUAUUUGAAACAAUUGGUUUGGUUGGAAGUACCGAGGUGGGAAUUUGAGCAAGUGCAUACUCGUCCCAGUCUGUGGGGUGGAACAAGUGCACAGUGGCAUCUGAAUGGUGGUGAUGACUUGUAGGCAGCCACCAGCCCUCAUCUAUAAUAGGGGGUCAUGGCUGAGGGACAUCAGACGGGCCCAUGUGGGUUAGAAAGGGCUUCCUUCACCCUCCUGUAAUUAGAUAUUGACAUCACCCAGUGCAUGAGAAACAUGGAGUUUCCCCAAAUAUGAUUUAUACAAUAAGAACAAAGCCAGGGGACCCCAAAUUUAGUUUUUGUUUUGUCGCAGGCUUGCUGACCGAACUUAAGCACAUUUCCUAUUAAAACGGGAUCUCCAUUUUUGUGAAAAUAGUGAAAUUUGCUGCAUCAUGAUGUCUGCAAGGCAAUUAAUAGGUUGCUGAAUGCAAACUUCUGGCAGACCUCAAGUAAACAGCCAGGGGUGAUGAUGAGGAUGGCCACUCUCCAGCUUCGUCUCCACGGAAUACAGAAGUUUUAGGCUGGGACACAGGAUUUCAGUAAGAACAAGGCCAGACUUAGGAAUGGGUACUGUGGACUGGCUUGGUGGGAGCCCUGAGUGGAAGUUGAAAACUGGGGGAAGUGGAGGGGCUGCAGUAGAGUUGGGGGCCCGGGGCAUCUUUCAGGGUGUUGGGUUGGGAUGUGAAAUCUAGGGAGAAGGUAUUGGGGAAAUAUUUCUAGAGGUGGCUGGAUCUCAGGGGCAGAUUCCUCAUCUAGGGUUUAUGGUUGCAGGGGAGAUAGGUCCAGAGAGCUUGGGGGAGGGAAGGGCUGAGAGGAAUCUAACAAGUGGCUGGAUCUCAGGGCAGAUUCCUUAUCCUAGGGUAUACAGUUGCAGGGGAGAUAGGUCCAGAGGGCUUGGGGGAGGGAGGGGCUGGCAGGAAUCUAACAAGUGUCAGGUUCAAAGAGGUAAGGAAUCAAGAAAGCACUCAAUGUCACAGAGCUCUGGGCAGGAGGUCACAGCCAAGCCCACAGUCAGCGGGACCUGGGUGGAGUCCCAGAGAGUUAUACCAAACUACCUAAAUGUCUUUACUAAGUUUAGGGCUGGUCCUGGAAAUUGGGGUAGAGGGUUUGCGUGUGACUGCAGAGGAAGAUUUCAGAAAGACAGACAAUUGUCUUUUUCAGCCUCUGCUGGGGUGGCUCUGCUUCAUUUAUUUAGUAGAUUAUAGCAGAGGAGACCCAAACAUAAAGCUAAACCCAUCCCCACUACCUCAGAUUGACUAGAGUUGUUUUUUGCUCCUGCUGUUAUUGUUUUAGUUGUCUGAUUAUUUAUAUAAUCACAAGGCAAAUGUGUUAUUUUGGAAAAUGCUCUUGAAUGUAGAUGUUUAUACACUUCCAUGACAAAUUUAAAUGACUAUUGAUGAACAGGACUGAGGCUGAAAGGUGUUUUGUGAUAGGCUAUUAUCUGAAACUAGAAUGAACAAGCCCGUAGUUUUUUUUUUUAAAAUUAUUAUUUAUUUAUUUAUUUUUAUUUAUUACUGGCGAGUCCCCGGACGAUAUGGAACUUGUGGGGUCAUUUGCUACUUUUGUGCCCUUGUAUUGUCAGAACACGGCCAUGAGAUGGAAGCUGUGGUCAUUUAAAGGAAGUAACGGUAGGUUUGAAGAAAAAUUAUAGCAAUAACGACAGACUGUGGGGAACAUUCUCUUGCCUAUUGCUGUUUGAAGAGAAAAAGCCAUUUUUAUGGCUUUUGAAAAUUUGCUUCAUUCUGCCAGGAUUCAAACUAGACUAUUCUGAGGCCCUAAAGGUUCUAAAGCAAUUCUCAGGCAAAAUAGUUGGCAGCUUUUAGUAUAAAAAUUAUUUCAGUUUCACCAUGAAAAUAAAAUCAUGUGGACACAGUGUGUGGUUCCCGGAGCAGACAUUGAAGAUCUAGGCUUUUGACAUGAAUUGACUUUGGACAAAUCAUUUAAUCGCCUUAAGUCUCAGUUUUCUCAUCUGCAAGAUAGAAAAGUAUCUGCACUUUCUCCCUGUUACAGUGUUGGGGGUAAUGGAGACAGAGCUUGAACCCUGACGUGUAAUGCAAGUCAGGGUAGGAAUUAUCAGCACAAAGUAAAAAGUGAGAUUCCUCUCUUUUAUGCCUGUUCCCCUGCCUGUAUUUUAAUUAUAUUCACUCUAGAGUUUUGAUUGAAUAAUGCUGGUUUCUCCUUGUUUUACUACUUAAUUAAUUUAAAAUGUUGCCCUGGGUAAUAGCUCUGUAUCUAAAUGAGGGCUGUUAGAAGAGGAGGGAUUGUGUGUACAGAUGCUUGUAAAUAAUGCUUAGGUGACACUAUUGUGAUAAUUAUAGCUUUUUGAAGAUGAGCUUUAUAGCUAGUCCUCAAUUUUCCCGUCGCUUCUUUCGUGGGCUCUUCCACUUCAGGGAGCACAUUUGUUACGUGGAGCUAGCUGUUCGGGGAACUGAAUCCCCAGAGACGUCAGCAGCUCUGUGAAUCCACUUUUCAUGUUCCGUGCCUAACUUUGCAAAUCCUCAGAAGUACAGAAGAUUGCUCAACCGCCCCUCCCCAAACUCCUCACCGCUAGUAAGGAUGUGGAAUGAGUACGCACAGCAGAAAGAAGGGGCAUCACAUCUCCUAACCACUCCAGUUUUCAAUCCCCAGGAAUAGCCAUCCCUGGAUCCAAGAGACCCGGAAGUGAUGCUGGGUCCUUGCUGGCUAGAAGGGUCCUAGCGAUGACCCUUUAUGUGGGAUUUGCAUCUCACGACUGUCUUCCCACCCCUUUCUGUGCCUGUGCUCAGGGGGCGCUGAGUGCUAGAGCUGGCAUGAAAGAAAUAGGUACUGUGGCUGAUGAGUCCCCAACAGGCAUCUUCGAAAUUAACUCUUGGGACCCCCAGCCUUGUAGUGUUCCCAGGGGAGGAACCCAUUGUGUAUUUCCUGGUGUCGUUUUCCAGCUUACGUGUGUUCUCCAGCAUUUAGUUUUCAAGAGUCUUCGACAUUGGCUUCAUUGUCAUUGCUUUACUCACCAACUCAAUUAGAAUCUCAUUUCAGAUAGAAAUCAGCCAGUGAAUUUUGUUAAUGGAUCUUUUGGAAGCUUUUAGAGUCAGAACUGGAAAAGACCUUGGAAGGUCAUCUCAUCCAGCCCUCUCCCCUUGCAGAUGAGAACCUUGACACCCAAAGAAAUCAUGUGACUAGGCUAGUGAGUUAGUGUCAGAGUGGGGACUAGAACCCAGGGUUCUUUAAGUACCUCGUUGUAGGGCAACAUGGCGUGGUCAUAUUAAAGUAUGUGGAGUAGUGAAUACUUAGCAGGUGUACUCUCUUUCAGUUUACUCAGUUUAUUUUUGAUGCUAUUAUCACGGGAUCCUUGGGGAGUCACUUCGCCAGCCGGAAACCUCUGUGGCCAACAGCACCUUCUGCCUGAGUAUUGCUCGUGCCUGCUGGGCUCGUUCUGCCCACUUGGCCUGGCGAGCUGCGCUCAGUUCAUGCUACCGGCCCAGAUCCCACACCUGCCAAGGAUGAGCCAGGCAUGGAGUGAUGAGACUGUAUGGUGAGCGAGUGUGGGGUCCAGCCACUGUGCGCAGCCAGGCACACCCGGGGCUGCGGUGGGGCAGGCAGCUCCAGGCGCUGCCACAGGUGCUGGCUCCAUGCGAGGCUGCAGCUGCAUCAUAUGUACUGCAUGUGGCUUCCACUGCAGGCACCCACAUCUGGACGAGAACGCAGUGGCACCCAGAACGAAGUGGCACUUCCAACAUCCAGAAGGUUGGAGAUGCCAGGAACCGCAAAGCCCCAAAGAGGGUGUCACAGCCCUGGCUCGGGGAGCCCCUAAGUCUGGGCUGUGAAAUACACAGUCCUGGCCGUGCCUCCCCCACUACAGCUGGCGUCCCUGCAGUGGCUGCUCCAGACAGGCCACUUCUCCCAUCACUAUGAUAUCAUCAUCAUAAUGAAUUACAUGAACCAGAACUUCCUAAUUUUAUUCAACUUUUAAGGUUGACUCCUGGUAAACCAGAAUUCUCUUACAAUGACAUCCUUAUUGAAACGCUUUACAAAAUGCAUUUGUUUUAGUUUUCUGAAUUAGUGACCACAAUUGACUCUUUCUUAGAUAUUGGGGAAUCUUGCUGUCCUUCACCUCAUUCCUCCCACUGGUUAUAAUUGUGUAAGAUGAUAGCUUCAGAACAUGGCUUUGGCAUGAACACAAGCCAGCAGCUCCCUCUCCCCACCACCAUUAGCUUAUUUAAAAUAUCAUAUUUAGGUUGUUUGAAUUCUUCCACAUGACCUUUAAAAGCCCUAUUGCUGGUAUUUUAUAGUAUUUGAGACAGUCUAUGAGUUAUCUGUAGUUCAGGAAAGUCAGGUAACUUGCUGCUAUUAUACCAGUUGCAUUUUGAUGUGACAUUGAUUUUUUUCCACCCGCUAUUUUCACAUCAGGUUGAACACAGACAUAGGCGAAAUAUAAACCUGGCAGCGAGCUUUGCUUGGCUUGUUUACUUCUCUCGUUGGUAAAGUGGCCAUGAUUCAGCACUGGGUUCUUUUCUCCCUGAUGUGCUAGUGGAAGGAGAGAGAGAGGAAAUUCCAGGUUACCAGUAGCAGUAUGACCAUUAUAGUAGAAAACUGCAAAUUGUAGUCACUACCUUCUGAUUACCCCAGCUAAAAUAAUACCUCAUUCAAAAAACGACUAAAUGAGGCUCCAGAUACCACCUUCCAGCCCUCUUUAAUUCCCUCAGUUGAGAAAGAAGAAGAGGGGAAGAAACUAUGGAAAAUCAUUGAGAGGAUGGUUUCCUGUGUAAUUUUGAAUAGACUGUGUUGAACAUGGAAAACACUGGUGUUACCUAGUGUGCAUUUCCUUCAAGGCUGUUGCUGUGUGUAUGUCUUAGCAAGUUCAGAUUAUUUUGCACUCUCAAAACUGAAAGUUUGCUUUUUACCCCCAUAUACUUUCUUGCAUGACCAGUCUCUUAGAUUAUUGUGACAUUGUGGUCUGUAUAAUGAAUUCCUGCCUUGGUGGGCUCUCUGGUUCCUUUGAACCUUAGGGAAAGGCUUGGUUAGUUUUCCUUUGGUAUGCAUUGGCUGAGAAGCAGAGAUAACUGAGGGAAAGUAAAAACACUUCUUGUUAACUGUAUAGUGGAAGCUUGGGAAAGAAAAAAAUAUUGCAAACAUCACCUUAUCACGGGGAGUCAAUAAGCAGUGGCAGAAAGAAAGUGGGGCUUGGAGUUGUAAGAUUAGGUAUCAGCUUGGACCAUUUCCCUGUGUGGACCUGGGCAAGUCAUGCAACCCUCAGCCUGAGUUUUCUCAGUUGAAAAAUGGGCAGGUGCGCAGGGAGGAUGGGCACAGCAGGGGUGGCGAUAUUUGCCUUACUCUGUGGUGAAUAACGGACCCCAGAGAAGUCCUUGUCCUCAUCGUUGGAACCUCAUCCUUGGAACUUGUGAAUAUGUUACCUUACAUGGCAAAAGGGACUUCAAGGAAGUGAUUAGGUUAAGGAUCUUGAAAUGGUGAUGGAAGUGUGCAGCUAAGUUUGGGACUCACUGCAGAGGUAUUGUGUUUGCUGAAUAAGAUUAUAAAUCAGUUUCUCUUUGAAGACUGACAAUCUAGAUGUUCUUUUGAGUUUUGGGGGAAGUGGGUGGUCUGUUGCGGACUCUGUCUUAUCUCUUUCAAUGAUGUAUACAGUGAGCGAUGAUGUAAUUGUGGCAGGAAAUACGAAAGUAUUUGUUACCUAACACUCUUGAGUAUGUUCAGCACACAGGUUGGUAUGUCCUGGUGGCAAACACAUUUUCAAUCAGCCAACAUUUUUCUCCUCUUGUUGCCCAGAGGUUUUUUAAAAAGCAGUAGUGAGGGGAAAAAAAGGAAGAUGUCUAGGCCUUUUCCUCAAAUGGGUGAGUCCCUUGAGACUUGAGGAAUAUUGUUUUUACUUCUGUCUUAUGUCCUUAUGUUUCCAGUCUGGAGGAGAAAUAAUCAUAUUGGAAUGUUUUCCUUUGGAACCACUGUUUCUAGAAGCCACGGUUUUUGAAAAUUACCAUUGCUGCUGCCCUCGUCAUAUUCCUGGGUGUUUUGAGAGCAGAUGUGCCCCCUGGCUGGCUCUGGGCUACCUGUCACUGAGAGCGCCCUGGCCUUUGACAGUAGGUGAUGUCAUUUGCCUUAUAUAUGUCACAGGGAGGAUAUUAUAGAUAAAAUUGUUUUAAUAAGCCACAAGGUGCUCUGCAGAUGUCGUUGUUAUAUUUUCAAUGAGACUUCUAGGUUGAGGUUGGAAAGAUGAUAGAAAGCCUGUAGAAUAAGUUUAUUAUAUUCAUGUACUGCUGUAUAAGAACAGAUGGGGGUUGUUAUUUUCUAGUAUCCUAUGGUAUUGACCAAGUAGAGGCUCUAGUGCCACGUAACUUCUUACUGGUUAUUUAAGCAAUUGAGUUUAAUUUUCUCAACUAUAAAUGGAAACAUUAAUGCUUGGCUUUUUUAAGGUUGCCCUGGGUGAACUUGGGUGUCCAGACAGUCUGGAUUAUAUUGUCUCAGUUUAACCCUUGGCUCUGAAACUUACUGUCUGGGGGAUUUUCAGGUAGUUACUUCACUUAUGUGUACCUCCAUUUCCUCAUCUGUAGAAAAUGGGUAAAUAAGAUCCCCUUCCACAGGGCUGUCGUAAGGAUGAGAUAAGGCACGGGGAAAACUGGGCACCGUUCCUGAGCGUCUCACUGUAGCCUCACCUCUGAAGCUGGGGCAGCCCAGGCACUUGGGCAAGCGUUUUCUCCUCUUUUCCUUCUCCUCUCUUCAAUAAGCAUUUAUUGCACACCUACUACUGGUAGAAAUAUAGUAUAGAUGCAGUGUUUAUGCAAAGUGGACACCCUUGUGAAGGACUUCAGCGAUUUAAAGUUUGAUUU